This 208-nucleotide long non-coding RNA is filed under the name Parus major (Great Tit). RNAcentral describes it as "lncRNA (ENSPMJG00000002834.1)". The record is from RNAcentral. Lineage: Eukaryota; Metazoa; Chordata; Aves; Passeriformes; Paridae.
GAACUUCAUCACUGACCUUGAAAAUGCGGUUUUUCACUGAAGUGGUUUUUCUUUCUCCUCCAGGGAGCUUUUGUCACUACCUCAACAGACCGUUCUAGAGGUGAAAAUAUGGAGUUGUUUCAGCUGCUCUCUCCAUUGUUUGCACUGCCAGCAAGGAAUUGCCAUUGCCAGAAAUGCGAGCGGAGGGUGUUUUGAUAAAGAAUCUCAG